RNAcentral lists this unclassified non-coding RNA (353 nucleotides) under soil metagenome. Its description in RNAcentral is "partial contains 5.8S ribosomal RNA, internal transcribed spacer 2, and large subunit ribosomal RNA". The stretch from base 1 to 120 matches the Rfam family "5.8S ribosomal RNA", at positions 35 to 154 of the family's 154-position model. The record is from RNAcentral.
GAUGAAGAACGUAGCGAAAUGCGAUACGUAAUGCGAAUUGCAGAAUUCAGUGAGUCAUCGAAUCUUUGAACGCACAUUGCGCCCGCCAGUAUUCUGGCGGGCAUGCCUGUUCGAGCGUCAUUACAACCCUCAGGCCCCCGGGCCUGGCGUUGGGGAUCGGCGGAAGCCCCCUGCGGGCACAACGCCGUCCCCCAAAUACAGUGGCGGUCCCGCCGCAGCUUCCAUUGCGUAGUAGCUAACACCUCGCAACUGGAGAGCGGCGCGGCCACGCCGUAAAACACCCAACUUCUGAAUGUUGACCUCGAAUCAGGUAGGAAUACCCGCUGAACUUAAGCAUAUCAAUAAGCGGAGGA